RNAcentral lists this ribosomal RNA (253 nucleotides) under uncultured bacterium. Its description in RNAcentral is "partial 16S ribosomal RNA". It matches the Rfam family "Bacterial small subunit ribosomal RNA", at positions 524 to 776 of the family's 1533-position model. The record is from RNAcentral.
UACGAAGGGGGCUAGCGUUGCUCGGAAUUACUGGGCGUAAAGGGCGCGUAGGCGGACAGUUUAGUCAGAGGUGAAAGCCCAGGGCUCAACCUUGGAAUUGCCUUUGAUACUGGCUGUCUUGAGUUCGGGAGAGGUGAGUGGAAUGCCGAGUGUAGAGGUGAAAUUCGUAGAUAUUCGGCGGAACACCAGCGGCGAAGGCGACUCACUGGCCCGAUACUGACGCUGAGGCGCGAAAGCGUGGGGAGCAAACAGG